This is a long non-coding RNA of Zingiber officinale, 574 nucleotides long. RefSeq lists it as uncharacterized. The record is from RefSeq and is a predicted model, not a curated record. NCBI's taxonomy places the organism in Eukaryota, Viridiplantae, Streptophyta, Magnoliopsida, Zingiberales, Zingiberaceae. The transcript has 4 exons.
UCGACCCAAGAGCCCUUUGGGUGCGAUUCGAGGCAACACAAUUAUGGAUGAUAUCGCAUCCAUUACCAUUUUUGACUGAAGCAGCUUGUUGUUUGAUGAUCUGCCGGAACUUGAGAUUUUGAGUGCUCAGUUAAAAUAAUUUUUCAAACUCCAUACUAAUGUCCUGUGGAAUUUGUAGGAGCGAUAUGUGGCAAUGGAAGCAAGAAGAAGAAUGUUGCCUGCCAAAAUAUUCCCAAUUUGCUUUGCCUCUAUGGGAUGAUACGAUGGGAAAUCAAACUCCACUUCGAGGAUUUGGUGAUUUCGACUUAGACGAAUUGGAUUUUGGAGAUGAGGUCGAGAAGGGUGUGGAGGAAGCAAACGAGGCAUCAAGAGUGAAAAGGUGUCGUGUUCUAAAUUUUUUUUUCUGAUGAUGAUGGUGCCACAAUCGUCAAUGAGCAUUUGUCCUCUGAAAUACACAGUGGUAGGUGUUUUGUCCCAGUCUCAAGUCGUCAAUCCAUUUUGAUCAAUAUAUCUAGUAGAAGUAAGCAUGCAGAUCGUUAUCUUCGAGGCUGGCUAGCUAUUUUGUACUUUUUUU